GGGGGUGUUCUGGAUUCGACCCUUGGUUGGAGUGCGCCGCUGCCCUUCGAGAGCGAACAUCUCUCGUUAAAUCCUGUUCAAAACAAACAAACGGCAACACUGAAGAAAUGCCCCUCGCUGCUUAAUGCAGUGACGUCUGCCUGGUGACUCCUGCUAACCAACGUGGACGACGACAGCAGGAAUAACGCAAGGAGCCAUCCGCGGGCCUUGCGUCGUAUCUUCAACCCGGGGAUUGGUCGGAGCCCAAGCGCGGUUGGUCGCGUGACGCCGGCGAGAUAAAUACCAGCACAUAAGGGUAGACGCGGUGUGCAAAGGCCGAGGGGACCCGGGUUCAAAUCCCGGCACCUCCACCA
This 353-nucleotide transfer-messenger RNA is filed under the name Opitutaceae. RNAcentral describes it as "Rariglobus sp019510185 Standard tmRNA". It matches the Rfam family "transfer-messenger RNA". From Rfam's summary of the family: Bacterial tmRNA, also known as 10Sa RNA or SsrA, is named for its dual tRNA and mRNA-like properties. Its role is to liberate the mRNA from a stalled ribosome. To accomplish this part of the tmRNA is used as a reading frame that ends in a translation stop signal. RNAcentral also lists the same sequence under 1 other name. The record is from RNAcentral. Lineage: Bacteria; Pseudomonadati; Verrucomicrobiota; Opitutia; Opitutales.